GCGCUUUAAUAUACUUCCAGCUGAGCAGGUUGCAACUGCAAUAUCGCCCGUUGAUACAAUCAGCAAGCUGUAGUAAACCAGGAAACCAAGGGUCGGAGACGAACACUAUCUGCGCAGAAUGUAUUUGGGUCUCGAUUCAUGCAUCAUUGUCGUAUUACUGCCAUAUGUGAUUUGUCAGGGCGAGCACCAGAUCUCCCAAUCCCCAACGAGACUGUCCAUUGAACGGGGGAAAAGUGCGGAGUUCAACUGCCGGCAGAGUCAAUCGCUAGAGUACAUGUAUUGGUACCAACAGAAGGAAGCCGGGGGUUUGCGACUGCUUCUGCGCUCAUACAUCUACAACACCGACGUAGAAAAAGAAAGCGGCGUCUCUGAUAGGUACCAAGCGACGAGGAACGGUAUGAAAAGCAUGAUCCUGAACAUAACAGGGGCGAAGGCAGAAGAUGAGGGGACCUAUUACUGUGCUGCCAGUAGCACCACAGAGGUGCAAGCAAGCGAGUCUUCAGUUCAAAAACUCACCAAACCCACAUGAGGAACAACAACUUGCAUUUAUAUAGCAACUUCACUGUCCGAAAUCAAAAUUUUCCAAGGAAGUUAUAUCAAUCAACAUUCACAUCAGG
Non-coding RNA from Carcharodon carcharias (great white shark), 617 nucleotides. The record is from the annotation of a RefSeq genome assembly. Lineage: Eukaryota; Metazoa; Chordata; Chondrichthyes; Lamniformes; Lamnidae.